UAAGGAAUAUUGGACAAUGGUCGCAAGACUGAUCCAGCCAUGCCGCGUGCAGGAAGACGGCCCUAUGGGUUGUAAACUGCUUUUGUACCAGAGAAAACCUAUCUACGUGUAGAUAGCUGAUAGUAUGGUAAGAAUAAGCAUCGGCUAACUUCGUGCCAGCAGCCGCGGUAAGACGAAGGAUGCAAGCGUUAUCCGGAUUCAUUGGGUUUAAAGGGUGCGUAGGCGGGCUUGUAAGUCAGUGGUGAAAUCUCUCAGCUUAACUGAGAAACUGCCAUUGAUACUGCAGGCCUAGAGUAUAGAUGACGUUGGCGGAAUAUGACAUGUUGUGGUGAAAUACUUAGAUAUGUCAUAGAACACCGAUUGCGAAGGCAGCUAACGAAACUAUAACUGACGCUGAGGCACGAAAGUGCGGGGAUCAAACA
RNAcentral lists this ribosomal RNA (422 nucleotides) under uncultured bacterium. Its description in RNAcentral is "bacterial SSU rRNA". It matches the Rfam family "Bacterial small subunit ribosomal RNA", at positions 355 to 774 of the family's 1533-position model. The record is from RNAcentral.